ACUGGCUAGUGUGAACUGGGACACCCAACUGAUCCAGUGGCUUCACACAAAGUUAGUAGAAACCCUCAGUUUGCCAGUGCUGGCUGCUUACUUGGAUGCUCUGCAAACACUUCAAGGAAAGAUUAUGAGAGCAGUGAAAGAGAUCUUACUGUUUCUUAUGACGUUCUCCUUUUACAAAUCUAAUUAAAAGGAAACCGGUGGAGGCCUUAUCCUUUUUCUUUGAAGCGUUGAUGAUGUUUAAAUGCCCCUUGGAAAGCCUGUGUGCAUUUUCUCAGUCCUUUCCUCCUCUGGUUCCAGAUCCCCACUCUGACCGACAGGAUGCUGCUCUCCUCCACCACCAAGACAGGAGCAGCAGGUGCUGAGGCUCUGUCUUUGCUGCUGAAGAGACCUUGGGACCCUGCAGUGGGGGUCUUGUCCCGUAAUAAAACAGUGAGUGCCUCCUGGAGCUUGCAGGGACUGAGAAGCCAUUCUCACUUCCUAAUGCACUCAAACUGGCUUUAUUUUUCUUCUGUUGUCUUCGUUCCAUCUCUUUCUGGCUUCCGGGGCUCUUUUCAUCUUGCUUUAGACUUGCUCAGCGAGGUGCUUCUUCCUAUUGGAGUCAUUUCUCCCCCAUACUGUCUCAGGGUAGAUUUUUGCUGGGGGAAAUUUGCACAUUUAAUGAGCUAUGAAAGGCUCUUCCUGCUUUGUAGUGCUCACCAGGCUGGACUUUGUGUUUACAAAUAGCCAUUUAAAAUCUUCUGUGGAUUAUCAGGGUUGUGCUGAGAGUGCUACUAGUUAGCUCUUCUCAUCCUCCACCCUCUCAGGGUUGUGUGGAUGGAGCUCCCUGGAGGAGCUGCCCUGGCAUUUUCCCAAAAAGGCGGGUGGUGAGGAUUUAGGCUGGGAGGUUGCUUUUGCUUAUUGACCUCUUGUUGAACUUUGUAGAGCAAAUUGCCUGGUUGCCCCCUCAUCCUGAUUGCUUCCUCUGGACCCUCCAACUCCAUGUUCCCCACUUCUUGAUGGCACCAAUUCUGACAGUCACAGCUUUCUUGCUUGGGAAAGGUUUAUGGUUGGUUUAGAAGGGAGGGUAGCUGUGGUAGACUGCAGUUGCUGAGCAUACUUUUCUAAUCCUUUGGUGCCCCAGACUACUAGAUUCUGCUGAAAACAGGCUAACAUCUGCUACCUUCAGUGUUUGGCAGGGCACAAACUGAGAUGGAGCUGCCUAAGUCUGAUGUACUUGGAGUCACACUGGGAGACUUGCUGCCCAAACUGAACUAUUUUCAGCAGUGUAGAUUGUGUCACUUUUAUUACGGAUUGAUGAGUUUUCCAGUAGAAAGAUACUGGAGGAGAGAGGGUAUGGUGGUGGUGGGAGGAGCAUAUGACAAUCUCAGGUGCUGUGCUCUGAGAUGGAUGCUUUCUUUCUACAAGUGCUGCUGGGCAGGAUCUGAGUGUGCUCCAUACAAAAAGAAAUAUAUAGCAAAAAUGUCCUGGGUAAUAAUGCACUCUCAGGGUCAGCAGUCUUGUUCAAAAGCUGAUGUGCCAGAUAGAAGAUACUUUGGUUAAUUUUUCCGUGAUAAAUUUGUGUUGUUUCUGCCAGUGGUACGUAGAAGAUCCAGGGUACAGUAUGGUAUGAUGCUAGAGCAAGUAUCUGCUUUUAUUUUCUUCCACCUUGGCUCUGGAAUAUGCAGCUUAUGGAGGCUGUAAGAGCCUUGCAGGAAGCACGUAAGGUUUCAGUACACUUUGGAGCUUGUUUUCCAGUCACACUUGUGUGUCUGGAAUAACAGCACCAAAAAUUGCAGCAGGUUAUGUGUAUGAGAAUGGGGUUAGCCUGAUGCUGGAGCUGGGCCCAACAGUGCAGACAAGAUUUUGGAGUGUUGUGCAAGUCAGAAAUCUGUAGUGGGAAUACUUAUUAAAGGACAGAAGGAAACGUCGAACUGUGACAUGAGUCUCCAGAUGAAGCUCUGAAGGAAAGAAAAUGUCAUAUUUGCUUGGCAAAAACUUUGGUCAUGGAUUCAGCGAAGCCGGGCUCUUGUUACCAAAGCUUGUCUCAGCAUUUCUGAGGGACAGACCUCGUCUUUCCAUUAGAUGGUGCUCUGAAGUUGAGCACUGACAGAGCCAACUCAUACUUCGCUCUGUAGGAUCGAACUGUGCAAGGAAGUAAGCCUGCUGUCAUGUGAAUUUUACUCUCAAGUGGAAAACAAUGUAGUGAGCAUGAAAGGGGAGAGUCUUUUUUAUUACUAUUAUUUUGUUCAGUAGGAUAAGCAAAGCCGAAAACAAGUCAGAAGGACUGACCGAGAGUAUGGUGGACAGGUGCAUCCAGACUUUUCAUCCUUGUGGCUCCAUCUCAUACAUUACUCACAUUCAUGAGGUAGCUGGAUUCUUGUCUGCUUUCCUGUACCUUGGCUCCAACUCUAAGGCAAUGGAUAACAAUUCUUCACGGGUGCUAGUGGAGGAGGAGGAGGAUUAAAAGGGCACGGAUUAUGGAUCAAGGCUGUUACAUAUUGUGUGUAACAUCAACAACAACAAGAUGCUAGCUUUUGUUCCAGAGAAGGCAUUUUGCAGUGAAGCAAACAAACAGAUCUGCUCAAGAAUUUAUCCUCAAUCUUCAAUGGUGACAGAAAGCACUGAAGGGUAACUGAUAAACCAUCAUGCAGAUGUUUACAGACCUACUGAGAUUUAUGACUGAAGAUUCUUCAACCCUGGAGCUGCAGUGCUUUUGUGAGGAAGAAGCUGACAGGCCAGUGGGAGAUAACCUUCUCGAUUUCUUUUCCUGUCAGCAUAAGCUGGUUUCAGACCUGAUAGUUAACUGCGAAUUACCUUGCUGCAGUUCUUGGGUAGUGCAGUGUUCAGUAAAAUAAAAUGGGUCUUCCUUUUUU
Long non-coding RNA from Numida meleagris (helmeted guineafowl), 2852 nucleotides. RefSeq lists it as uncharacterized. NCBI's taxonomy places the organism in Eukaryota, Metazoa, Chordata, Aves, Galliformes, Numididae. The transcript is spliced from 4 exons. The record is from RefSeq and is a predicted model, not a curated record.